This 507-nucleotide long non-coding RNA is filed under the name Gallus gallus (chicken). The record is from RNAcentral. Lineage: Eukaryota; Metazoa; Chordata; Aves; Galliformes; Phasianidae.
CUCGUAAAGCUCCUUGGGGCUCACAGCAUUGCCUCCAAGCAGGAUAAGAACACGGGGAACCAGCGUCAAGCUGAACAUCGCUUCCAGGUGUUGCAGCACUCCCUCCAGCUCCACCAGCACCUGCUGGCACUUCUUGCUUGCCAGGCCCACAGAGGGCGGCUUCUUGAUCACAUCUCCAUCCUGCGCGGCCCGCCGGCAGAAGUAGGCGAGCUGUUCGUAGGGCAGCGGGAGCUGGUGCCGCUGGUGCAGGACGUGCUUCAGGAGCUCGCAGGCGAAGCGGCAGCAGCUCUCUCGGCUCACGGCGCCUGGGAACACCACGGACACGGCGGGGCUGAGCGCCGCCGGCGCGCUCCGCCGGGACCUCCUCCCGCUACGGCCGCGCUCCAGGGCCGACGGCGUCUCCGCCGUGAGAAGCGGGGAGGCCUGAGAACCCGGAGCCGCCAUCACACCAGGCGACUCCGUUCCCCCCAGCGCAGCCAUUUUCUAGGCGGCGGCGGAGGCGGCCCG